UGUGAGGCUUCUGGCUCUGUGCUGGGAUC
Molecule: unclassified non-coding RNA, 29 nt
Filed under: Mus musculus (house mouse)
Lineage: Eukaryota; Metazoa; Chordata; Mammalia; Rodentia; Muridae
Description: oocyte_clustered_small_RNA184
Source: RNAcentral